UCUAACUGAUAUUCCAAGAAGUGGAAUGACGGGGUAACGCCCUGAAACGCUUCCCUUGAUACUGCGUUGGAGGAAACGGGACGUAUUUCCCGCAACUGACACAGCACGCUGAAGUCGGCUGUCUGCACCUGCGACUGUCCCCUUUGGGAUAAAGCAAAACCGAGCCAGAGGUGGCCGGGGGUGUUAGGCCGGAGGUCUAUAAA
RNAcentral lists this non-coding RNA (203 nucleotides) under Enterocloster clostridioformis. The record is from RNAcentral. Lineage: Bacteria; Bacillati; Bacillota; Clostridia; Lachnospirales; Lachnospiraceae.